GAGGGAGUCACACACUGUUAAACUGCAGCUGGAUGUGAUGAUACAAUCUGGGAUUGUAUAGAAGGCGGGAAAAACUGCUGCUUUUACUACUGCUAUUGGUUGUGCUUUAACAUCAUGAGUGAGAUGGGAAGUCACCCAACACAUCCAUGUGUAUUUUAUGUAUGCGUCGUCAAAAAUGAAGAAAUUACUACAACUUAGAAAGUGUGGACCAUCUGCUGUUGAUGUUGAUGUUAUACAGAGCUGUGACAUCAUGACCAUGUCAGUAAAUUGAAGAUAAAUAAAGACUUGGAUUAUCCCAUGGGAAUGUGUCAGUAGUAAAAUUCUGUAGUAUACAGAGGGAUCUGGAUGGUAACACAUUCUGAUCUACUCAGUUUAGAGUCAACGGUGACUAAUUGGUUUUCCUUGUGUGAGUGAAGGUCAAGGAGUUGGUUUCUACCUGUGAGUGUGUCAAAAGUUAGCAGGCAGCCAGACCACCAUGAAGUACUAAAACUGAGUUUGACCUGCACGGCAAAUGGUGGGAGAUGCCUAAAAGUUGAUGUUCCCGUAGAAAGAUAGGGAACCCAUUUGGGUCAUUUUGGGGACAAGACCUAAAGUUGACCGCAGCCAAGUUAGAUGAGUUAUGGGAGGUGAGCAGGGAGACAUUUGAACUCCUCUUUUAUUCGAUUGGAUAAUUUACCAAAGUGACCAACUAGAAGAAGUGGGUGUACUGUAGUUGUAGGUGUACUUUUAGGAUUCCUAAGAUCAAAGGCUCAACAGGACUUCUGAAAGGACAGAGGGCGAAGCAUUUUGGCAUUGCUUUUGCCAUAGAUUUGAGAAUACCAGCAAGCGGCCGCUUCUGGAUCAGACGCAGGCUUGAGAUCUGUUUCAGUAAAGAUUGCUCUAUCAUUCCACCCAGCCUUGCCUCCACACAGAAUCCUUUUAUCAUCAAACUACAUGCUGACACCUUUGAGGAAGAGAGCCCAGGAACUACAAUACAGUUGUCAGAUUUCAAUUCAUCAGACAGUUGAUUGAUCUUCCAUCAGCCUGAAUGUAAACAGACCACAGCAAGAGGAGGAGCUACACAACUGAAUAUGAAAGGCUUCAUUUUAGAAGUGAAGAGCUGCUGUGUUCUCUCUGUUCUUCAUUCACUACAGCUGAAGAUAAUGCAGCUCUUUUUAAUCUGGAUGAUGAUCUUCAUGUUUCAUGCUGGAUCCUCUGAGGAUUUAGUGAAACCAUUUAAAGAUGUAAUGCUGGCUGUGGAAGGAGACACUGUGACUCUCUCCUGCAACUAUUCAGGCUCUGCUGACUACAUCUACUGGUAUCAACAGAAGUCCAGUUCAUCUCCACAGU
Acanthopagrus latus (yellowfin seabream) is the source of this 1329-nucleotide long non-coding RNA. RefSeq lists it as uncharacterized. The transcript is spliced from 3 exons. The record is from RefSeq and is a predicted model, not a curated record. NCBI's taxonomy places the organism in Eukaryota, Metazoa, Chordata, Actinopteri, Spariformes, Sparidae.